Populus euphratica (Euphrates poplar) is the source of this 563-nucleotide long non-coding RNA. RefSeq lists it as uncharacterized. The transcript has 3 exons. The record is from RefSeq and is a predicted model, not a curated record. Lineage: Eukaryota; Viridiplantae; Streptophyta; Magnoliopsida; Malpighiales; Salicaceae.
AAGGGAAGAGAAUUGAGAAAUGGAAGAGAAACGAAAACAAAUUCUGUUGUGGCGUUUCUUAAUUCAAAAGCAACAGGGCCCCGUCUCAUGUUAACAAAGAGAAUGGAUAGAGUGGAGAUAACAUAUUAUGCUUUUGGAUGAUCUUUUUGUUUUACACCGUUUCCUUGGACACUGAAAACAGAGAAUAAAAGGUUUUGAUUGUCUGUUAAGAACUUUGUUUUCCUUGAACUUGAUAACGGGGUUUUGAUUUUGUGAUACAGAUUCAAUGCUGGAUGCUCUUGCAAGCAUACCAGGAGAAUCAACCCUGAAUUUUUUGAAGGCCAAGUGCCUCAUGAGCGUAAAACUGAGUGAGUGAUGCAAGAGUACUGGACAGAUCAGAAGGCACGGAGUGAAAAAGGCAAGGCUAAGGUAGCCAGCUCCUAAUGCAGAGUAUCUCUUGGCGGUGAACGAGUUCUAGACCAUGAAAAGCAGCUGAUUGCUAGCCCCCAUAUUGACAGUGAUACCCACAUUCACUGGAAAAAAUCAUUUGGUCCAAGGACUCCUGCCAAUACAAACAAUGGUUC